GACGAACGCUGGCGGCGUGCUUAAUACAUGCAAGUCGAACGGAAAGGCCCUGCUUUUGUGGGGUGCUCGAGUGGCGAACGGGUGAGUAACACGUGAGUAACCUGCCCUUGACUUUGGGAUAACUUCAGGAAACUGGGGCUAAUACCGGAUAGGAGCUCCUGCUGCAUGGUGGGGGUUGGAAAGUUUCGGCGGUUGGGGAUGGACUCGCGGCUUAUCAGCUUGUUGGUGGGGUAGUGGCUUACCAAGGCCUUGACGGGUAGCCGGCCUGAGAGGGUGACCGGCCACAUUGGGACUGAGAUACGGCCCAGACUCCUACGGGAGGCAGCAGUGGGGAAUAUUGCACAAUGGGCGGAAGCCUGAUGCAGCAACGCCGCGUGCGGGAUGACGGCCUUCAGGUUGUAAACCGCUUUCGCCUGUGACGAAGCGUGAGUGACGGUAAUGGGUAAAGAAGCACCGGCUAACUACGUG
Molecule: ribosomal RNA, 468 nt
Filed under: uncultured bacterium
Lineage: Bacteria
Description: partial 16S ribosomal RNA
Rfam family: Bacterial small subunit ribosomal RNA
Source: RNAcentral